This 274-nucleotide ribosomal RNA is filed under the name uncultured bacterium. Its description in RNAcentral is "partial 16S ribosomal RNA". It matches the Rfam family "Bacterial small subunit ribosomal RNA", at positions 523 to 796 of the family's 1533-position model. The record is from RNAcentral.
CUACAGAGGUCUCGAGCGUUGUUCGGAUUUACUGGGCGUAAAGGGAGCGUAGGCGGUUUGGUGUGUUGAACGUGAAAUCCCACAACUCAACUGUGGAAAUGCAUUCAAAACUACCAGACUAGAGUACUGGAGAGGAGAGCGGAAUUCUUGGUGUAGCGGUGAAAUGCGUAGAUAUCAAGAGGAACACCGGUGGCGAAGGCGGCUCUCUGGACAGAUACUGACGCUGAGGCUCUAAAGUUAGGGGAGCGAACAGGAUUAGAAACCCCGGUAGUCC